UUGAAAAAAUCCAAAAAAGGCAUUUUGUCACACUGGCAGUGUGGAAGUCAGGGGUUCGAGUCCCCUAUGCUCCACCA
This 77-nucleotide transfer RNA is filed under the name Ruminococcus sp. RNAcentral describes it as "tRNA-Ala". The record is from RNAcentral. Lineage: Bacteria; Bacillati; Bacillota; Clostridia; Eubacteriales; Oscillospiraceae.